CCUAAGGUAGCGAAAUUCCUUGUCGGGUAAGUUCCGACCUGCACGAAUGGCGUAACGAUGGCGGCGCUGUCUCCACCCGAGACUCAGUGAAAUUGAAAUCGCUGUGAAGAUGCAGUGUAUCCGCGGCUAGACGGAAAGACCCCGUGAACCUUUACUGUAGCUUUGCACUGGACUUUGAGCUUGCUUGUGUAGGAUAGGUGGGAGGCUUUGAAGCGUGGACGCCAGUCUGCGUGGAGCCAUCCUUGAAAUACCACCCUGGCAAUCUUGAGGUUCUAACUCUGGUCCGUUAUCCGGAUCGAGGACAGUGUAUGGUGGGUAGUUUGACUGGGGCGGUCUCCUCCCAAAGAGUAACGGAGGAGUACGAAGGUGCGCUCAGACCGGUCGGAAAUCGGUCGUAGAGUAUAAAGGCAAAAGCGCGCUUGACUGCGAGACACACACGUCGAGCAGGUACGAAAGUAGGUCUUAGUGAUCCGGUGGUUCUGUAUGGAAGGGCCAUCGCUCAACGGAUAAAAGGUACUCCGGGGAUAACAGGCUGAUACCGCCCAAGAGUUCAUAUCGACGGCGGUGUUUGGCACCUCGAUGUCGGCUCAUCACAUCCUGGGGCUGAAGUAGGUCCCAAGGGUAUGGCUGUUCGCCAUUUAAAGUGGUACGCGAGCUGGGUUUAGAACGUCGUGAGACAGUUCGGUCCCUAUCUGCCGUGGACGUUUGAGAUUUGAGAGGGGCUGCUCCUAGUACGAGAGGACCGGAGUGGACGAACCUCUGGUGUUCCGGUUGUCACGCCAGUGGCAUUGCCGGGUAGCUAUGUUCGGAAGAGAUAACCGCUGAAAGCAUCUAAGCGGGAAACUUGCCUCAAGAUGAGAUCUCACUGGGAUCUUGAAUCCCCUAAAGGGCCGUCGAAGACUACGACGUUGAUAGGUUGGGUGUGUAAGCGCUGUGAGGCGUUGAGCUAACCAAUACUAAUUGCCCGUGAGGCUUGACCAU
RNAcentral lists this ribosomal RNA (981 nucleotides) under bioreactor metagenome. RNAcentral describes it as "bacterial LSU rRNA". It matches the Rfam family "Bacterial large subunit ribosomal RNA", at positions 1950 to 2925 of the family's 2925-position model. The record is from RNAcentral.